RNAcentral lists this ribosomal RNA (935 nucleotides) under Nematoda environmental sample. RNAcentral describes it as "bacterial SSU rRNA". It matches the Rfam family "Eukaryotic small subunit ribosomal RNA", at positions 601 to 1583 of the family's 1831-position model. The record is from RNAcentral. Lineage: Eukaryota; Metazoa; Nematoda.
GCAUAGAAUUAUUGCUGCGGUUAAAAAGCUCGUAGUUGGAUCUGUGCCACGGGAGUCGGUCCAGCCUCACGGCUGCGCACUGGCCACCCGCGCUUUCCGGUCGGUUUUCGCGUCGGGGCUUUUACCGGCUGCGGCGCGUGGCUGACGAGUUUACUUUGAACAAAUCAGAGUGCUUAACACAGGCGUUUCGCUUGAAUGUUCUUGCAUGGAAUAAUAGAAGAGGAUCGCGGUCCGAUUUUAUUGGUUUUAUGGACUGAGAUAAUGGUUAACAGAGACAAACGGGGGCAUUCGUACCGCUGCGUGAGAGGUGAAAUUCUUGGACCGCAGCGAGACGAACUACAGCGAAAGCAUUUGCCAAGAAUGUCUUCAUUAAUCAAGAACGAAAGUCAGAGGUUCGAAGGCGAUCAGAUACCGCCCUAGUUCUGACCGUAAACGAUGCCAACUCGCGAUCCGCCGGCGGAUUCGUUCSCCCUGGUGGGGAGCGUCCCGGAAACRAAAGUCUUCCGGUUCCGGGGGAAGUAUGGUUGCAAAGCUGAAACUUAAAGGAAUUGACGGAGGGGCMCCMCCAGGAGUGGAGCCUGCGGCUUAAUUUGACUCAACACGGGAAAACUCACCCGGCCCGGACACCGUAAGGAUUGACAKAUUGAUAUCUUUUUCAUGAUUCGGUGGAUGGGGGUGCAUGGCCGUUCUUAUUUCGUGGAGCGAUUUGUCUGGUUUAUUCCUAUAACGAGCGAGACUCUACCCUACUAACUAGUCCACACAUUCCCCUCGGUGUGUGCCUACUUCAUAGAUGGACGGUGUGUGGCCGCCCGCACUAGAUAGAUCAAUAACUUGUCUGUCACUCCCUUCCAUGGAGGGGCCUGCCCGCGCGCUCGCUGAACUAAAUCAGCUUGCCUGUCCUCUCUCGGAAGAGAUAGAUAAAUCAAUGAACAUUC